AAAAUUUUAGUUUAAUAAAAAUAUUUCAUUUACAAUGAGAAGAUUUAUUUAUAUAAAAUAAAAAUUUUA
RNAcentral lists this transfer RNA (69 nucleotides) under Chrysis fulgida. RNAcentral describes it as "tRNA-Val". The record is from RNAcentral. Lineage: Eukaryota; Metazoa; Arthropoda; Insecta; Hymenoptera; Chrysididae.